UCCAAAUUAUUAAUAGCUAUAUACUUUAAAUUUGAAGAAUUUGGCGGUAGUUUAGUCUUGUUAGAGGAACCUGUUUUUAAAUCGAUACACCACGUAAAAUCUUACUUAUUUUAUUUAGUUUGUAUACCGUCAUUAUCAGAUAAUCUUGAAAAAGAGAAUUAUUGUACUUUAAAUGUAAGAUAAAUUAGAUCAAGGUGCAGCUAAUAAAUAAGUUAAAAUGGGUUACAAUAAAAUUUAUUUAUAUGGAAUAAUUAGUGAAACAAAAUUAUAAAGGUGGAUUUAAUUGUAAUCAAGGUUUAACAAGCUGAGGAGAUAUAAGCUCUAAAUUAU
Molecule: ribosomal RNA, 330 nt
Filed under: Chlorodiella barbata
Lineage: Eukaryota; Metazoa; Arthropoda; Malacostraca; Decapoda; Xanthidae
Description: partial 12S ribosomal RNA
Source: RNAcentral